UACAGAGGGUGCAAGCGUUGUUCGGAAUUAUUGGGCGUAAAGCGCGUGUAGGCGGCCUUGCAAGUCGGGUGUGAAAUCCCUCAGCUUAACUGAGGAAGUGCGCCCGAAACUGCUCGGCUCGAGUACCGGAGAGGAUGGCGGAAUUCCCCAAGUAGAGGUGAAAUUCGUAGAUAUGGGGAGGAACACCGGUGGCGAAGGCGGCCAUCUGGACGGAUACUGACGCUGAGACGCGAAAGCGUGGGUAGCAAACAGG
RNAcentral lists this ribosomal RNA (253 nucleotides) under uncultured bacterium. RNAcentral's name for it is "partial 16S ribosomal RNA". It matches the Rfam family "Bacterial small subunit ribosomal RNA", at positions 524 to 776 of the family's 1533-position model. The record is from RNAcentral.